UACGUAGGGUGCGAGCGUUAAUCGGAAUUACUGGGCGUAAAGCGUGCGCAGGCGGUUCGUUAAGUCAGAUGUGAAAGCCCCGGGCUCAACCUGGGAACUGCAUUGGAAACUGGCUUACUAGAGUGCGGUAGAGGGGUGUGGAAUUCCCGGUGUAGCAGUGAAAUGCGUAGAUAUCGGGAGGAACAUCUGUGGCGAAGGCGACACCCUGGACCAGCACUGACACUGAGGCACGAAAGCGUGGGGAGCAAACAGG
This 253-nucleotide ribosomal RNA is filed under the name uncultured bacterium. Its description in RNAcentral is "partial 16S ribosomal RNA". It matches the Rfam family "Bacterial small subunit ribosomal RNA", at positions 524 to 776 of the family's 1533-position model. The record is from RNAcentral.